Molecule: long non-coding RNA, 567 nt
Organism: Ochotona princeps (American pika)
Lineage: Eukaryota; Metazoa; Chordata; Mammalia; Lagomorpha; Ochotonidae
Exons: 2
Source: RefSeq, a predicted model, not a curated record
AGCAAGCGAGCGAGUUUCCAUCUACUGGUUCACUCCCCAAAGGGCCACAACAGCUGCAGGGUUGAGCCACCUGAAGCCAGAAGUUUCUUUUCACGUUCCAUGUGGGUGCAGGGGAUCAAGGACCUGGGCCAUCCUCUGCUGCUUUCCCAGGCCAUUCAGGGGGAGCUGGAUUGGAUAGUGAAGCAGCCAGUACAUGAACCAGCACCCAUAUAUGAUGCCAGUAGCACAGGCAGAAGAUCAGGCUGCUACACUGCUGUGCCAUGACACAGUGGUGCCUUUUAUGGAGUCCUCUCAAGGACAGACACUUGGAAGCCUGGGUCAGUAUUGGUCUCUAAUUCAAUGCUGUCAUCUCCCUCACUACUCCCAGCUAUGAUAUGCCAGGAAGAACAUGGCUGAGUGGUUGGGAUCCAAGCUGACACUCGGACAAGGGGGAGCAGUCAACCACUGAGCUCCAGGAGACAAACAUAUCGGGCCCUGAAGCAUCCAAGGCAAAAACCCCAAAGCACAAACAAGCUGGAGGUUUCUGUGAACAGAAACCAGACAAUGCAUCAACAGCAGCUUGGUGAG